CAAUUUCUUCUCCUGGCAUUGUUAAGAGCGGGGCCUGGGUUAUUAUUAAUUACUUUUGCAUUAUUUAUGUAGAUCCAUGAAUGUGCAAUGUCCUUUACAGAUAAAUCACUCUGCCUUGAAAAGUUUCCAGCCAGCGAGCCAAAUCCUGCGGUGAAAAUCUGUAACAGCAGGAGGCAAUUCUGUGCUGCAGAACAGGGAGCCAGCCUUGGGGUGCACUCCAGAGACAGUCCCCACCGGUUGUGCAAGGACCCAGACCCAUGACAAGGUUCAACUCCUCACUGAUGCAGCAAGGCUUGGAGAACAGGAGCGUGUCCCAUGGCCACAAGAGCAACUUCUUCACCAUUAUGAGGAGAGACUGAGAGAGCUGGGACUCUUUAGUCUGGAGAAGAGAAGGCUGAGGGGAGACCUUAUCAAUGCCUACAAGUAUCUCAAGGGAGGGUUGAAGGAGGAGGGAGCCAGACUCUUUUCAGUGGUUCCCAGUGAGAGGACGAGGGGCAACGGGCACAAGUUGGAACAGAAGAGGUUCCACUCAAAUAUGAGGAGAAACUUCUUCACGGUGAGGGUGACAGAGCCCUGGAACAGGCUGCCCAGGGAGGGUGUGGAGUCCCCUUCUUUGGAGAUUUUCAAGACCUGCCUGAAUGCAGUCCUGAGUAACAUGCUCUAGCUCUAGGUGAUCCUGCUUCAGCAGGGGAGUUGGACUAGAUGAUCUCUAUGGUCCCUUCCAACUCUAAAAUUCAGUGAAAUUCAGUGAAAUUAUGCUGUGGGAAGAGCCUGGAAAGCAUCGCCCUGUACCCGUGGACCAGUGGACCCCAGCACAGCAGUGGUCUUUCUCUGAGGCUUUGCAUCUUCUCUUUGUUCUUCCAAAGGUACCAACACGUUUAUCUAAUGGUUUGGCUCCUUACCUCACUCUGCUACUAGCCAGCCCUUGCAGCAAGCAGAGGACUCUCCAGGUGACACAUGGCCAUUGGAGACUGUCGGACCUGGGGGGAACAAGGGCCACUGGCGGCUGAAGAAGGGGUAGAGCCUGGGGUAGAGCACCAUGGGAAAUCAUAGAAUCAUGGAAUCAUUUAGGUUGGAAGAGACCCUUGGGAUCAUCGAGUCCAACCAUCUCCCCUACUCUACAAAGUUCUCCCCUACACUGUAUCCCCCAACAUGGAUAUGGUGUAGGGGAGGGCCAGCAGAGCCUCUUUUGGGCUGUCACACCCAGGGGGAUUUUUUUUUAUAUGAGUUUUCCUACCCAGGAGGAUAUUUCUCUUUAUAAACAGCUCUCCAUAGGUCAGAGAGAGCUUUGGCCACCCUGUCUGUGGGAGUGACCGGCAGAUAACAGGAGAAAAAAAACAGGGGAAAAAAAUAAAGGGGCUCAGUGCAAGUCA
This 1373-nucleotide long non-coding RNA is filed under the name Calidris pugnax (ruff). RNAcentral describes it as "lncRNA (ENSCPUG00000006004.1)". The record is from RNAcentral. Lineage: Eukaryota; Metazoa; Chordata; Aves; Charadriiformes; Scolopacidae.